Molecule: ribosomal RNA, 120 nt
Filed under: uncultured bacterium
Lineage: Bacteria
Description: partial 16S ribosomal RNA
Rfam family: Bacterial small subunit ribosomal RNA
Source: RNAcentral
UUGCCUUUGGAUGAGCCCGCGUCGGAUUAGCUAGUUGGUGAGGUAAAGGCUCACCAAGGCGACGAUCCGUAGCUGGUCUGAGAGGAUGAUCAGCCACACUGGGACUGAGACACGGCCCAG